AGUGACCCUCUCCCACCUCCACGAGACUGCCCUUAGCCCACAGCGGCGCCCACCGGUGAAUUGCGACCCGCACUCUACGCGGUGAUACAAACAAUAGAGACGAACCUGUGCUCACCGUGAAUCUUGUGGCGCCACGACCUUACCACGUCAAUUAGCUGAUUAGACGGCGGUCUCCAACUCCGGCCUACAAUUCAUCGUGCAUCGGCCACCCUUCUCGCUCAACUACGCUCUGGGAACGUGCAGCACGUUACGAAGAUCGCGCUACGAUGGCGAGUUCUCCGAUGCGAUCCACUCGGUCCUUGGCAACACAACGACUAGCGGCUAGCUUAUAUAGGCCAUGGAGGGCAGAGUCCGCAUAUGCCCCCUCCAGCCAUCAGUAGCCACGGGCUAUCCUGCGCCCACCACCUGCCCUACCCCUCCCCUCCCCUCCCCUCCCUCCUGCCUUCGUCCUGCCCGAGCUGCCCGGCGCCUCUGUCCUCCUCCGGGCUCCACAGGCCUUGCCAGGCAUGGGGUUGGCCUUGUUGAAACCACCAGAUUUGUGCCUCCUAGACCCCAGUUCCUCGGCAACAAGGUAACCUCCGUGCCCCUGCUCCCUUUCCUGACUGCUGGUGAUGAGGAUGAUCCUAUCCGGUGCCUCCUCUGUGAACGCCUACUCCUGGGCCCCUGCAACUAAGAGCCUCCGCCGGAGUCGCCGCGGAGAAGCUGCUGCUCGCCGUCGCAGCCGAGGUGGUAAUAUAUGCUGGAAGCCUAUUGCAUAACUUCAACCAUUGAUUCCGUUGAAGCUAAUGUCAUGGAAUAGAAUUCUCACCACUUUGUUGUAGCAAUACAUAAAUUUGAUGAAUGGAUUCAACUAGUGUCAUAGAAUGAUAGAAUGGACCCGAAAUCUAUAUUUUUUGUAUUGUCACAUUUUGUCUCGAUGAUCAUGGUGUUUGUCUUAGUUCUACAAAUGACUUGGGAUCUUGAUAUUUUCCUUUUUUCACCUACUACUAUGUUGCAAUUUUGUUUACCAGUGCCACCAUGCAAGUGCAGUAUAGCAACAGUGUGCUA
Molecule: long non-coding RNA, 1047 nt
Organism: Zea mays
Lineage: Eukaryota; Viridiplantae; Streptophyta; Magnoliopsida; Poales; Poaceae
Exons: 2
Source: RefSeq, a predicted model, not a curated record